CCCCUAGAUGUUCUGGGCCGCACGCGCGCUACACUGAACAGUUCAACAAGUCUUAACCUUGGCCGAUAGGUCUGGGUAAUCUUUGAACGCUGUUCGUGACUGGGAUAGACCUUUGCAAUUAUGGGUCUUCAACGAGGAAUUCCUAGUAAACGCAAGUCAUCAGCUUGCAUUGAUUACGUCCCUGCCCUUUGUACACACCGCCCGUCGCACCUACCGAUUGAAUGGUCCGGUGAAGCCUCCGGAUUGGCGUGCACCCUCGGGUGCUGCCGAGAAGUUGGCUAAACCUUACCAUUUAGAGGAAGGUGAAGUCGUAACA
This 316-nucleotide ribosomal RNA is filed under the name uncultured eukaryote. Its description in RNAcentral is "partial 18S ribosomal RNA". It matches the Rfam family "Eukaryotic small subunit ribosomal RNA", at positions 1470 to 1796 of the family's 1831-position model. The record is from RNAcentral.